RNAcentral lists this long non-coding RNA (474 nucleotides) under Homo sapiens (human). RNAcentral's name for it is "HSALNT0314990". The record is from RNAcentral. Lineage: Eukaryota; Metazoa; Chordata; Mammalia; Primates; Hominidae.
GGUUAUCAGGGGUUUUUGCUUUUGCUUCUUCCUCAUUUUCUCUUGCUGUUGCCAUGUAAGAAGUGCCUUUUACCUCCUGCCAUGAUUCUGAGGCCUCCCCAGCCAUGUGAAACUGAGAAGAGACAGACUCAGACCCAGAGAGGAGAACACCAUGUGGAGAUGGAGGCAGAGGUUGGAGUGAUGCACCUACAAGCCAAGGAACACUGUGGAUGGCAGCAGCUGCCAGAAGCCAGGAGAGAGGCAUGGAGCAGGUGCUCCCUCAGAGUCACCAGCAGGAACCAACCCUGCUGACACUUUGAUUUCAAACCUCUGUCUUCCAGAACGGUGAUAGAAUAAAUUUCUGUUGUUUUAAGCCAUCCAAGUCUGUGGUAAUUUACUAUGGCAGCUCUAGGAAACUAACACUAGUGUAGGAUAAAAAAUUUUCUCAACUCUGUCCCCUUGUUUUCUCUCAUUAUGAUGCCUAUCACUGGCCGG